GCGGAAGUGGCGGAAUUGGUAGACGCACCAGAUUUAGGUUCUGGCGCCGCAAGGUGUGAGAGUUCAAGUCUCCCCUUUCGC
Molecule: transfer RNA, 81 nt
Filed under: Vibrio parahaemolyticus
Lineage: Bacteria; Pseudomonadati; Pseudomonadota; Gammaproteobacteria; Vibrionales; Vibrionaceae
Description: tRNA-Leu
Rfam family: tRNA
About the family: Transfer RNA (tRNA) molecules are approximately 80 nucleotides in length.
Source: RNAcentral